AACAUUCAGACACUGAAACUCCUGGUAUUUUUCAAGUAGCGAACGGCCCUCACUGUUUUCUCCAUAAAUGAAGUAAAGUCUCGGAGGAUGAGCUGCGUAUCCACCCUUUCUGUGCUGCGGACGACAGACCCCCCUGGGACCUGUGCUUCCUUACAGCCCUGCUUCUGCAGUGGGGUUUGAGGCAAUUAGGCAUGUGGGAGACCAAGUGUCACCAACUUUCACUGAUGCGUGGGAUCCUAACUGCAAGAUGAGUAAAAGGAGUUAUGUACCUAAUGCUGACUGACAGCACUGGGCACCUGGUACCCAAAUGCCUUUUAAAAACUUCUCCUAUGAAGUGGGUACGUCUGAAACGUAUAAAGCCCGCUGGAGAUUUUCCUCAAGCAUUUAUCCUGAAAUGAGAGAAAGGUGAGAAAGUUACGUACAGCUCAAAUGCCUCAGUCGCGAUAUUGCGGGUGCGGUGCAGGUAAGCGGGUAACGCUUAUGCAGAGUGUGGGGGUCUGUGCCAUGCCAAAGCCAGCUGGAGCCGGCACAGAUCUCCAGGUCGACUUCCACGUUUUUUUGGAGCAGGUGAAAAUUGCCCCAGGUAGGUAAGGUUAGAGCAGGAAGGAGAGGGGUUCCUUGCCU
Aquila chrysaetos chrysaetos is the source of this 624-nucleotide long non-coding RNA. RefSeq lists it as uncharacterized. The record is from RefSeq and is a predicted model, not a curated record. The transcript has 4 exons. NCBI's taxonomy places the organism in Eukaryota, Metazoa, Chordata, Aves, Accipitriformes, Accipitridae.